ACUCAGCCAUCAGAAACGACGAAUACCCACCAUUUGCUUCAACGUGGAUGGAAUUGGAAGGGGAAAUUUGAACACAAACACACGCGGUGGUAGAAACCCACAUGAACAUGAAGGCAGAGAUCAGAGGGAUGCUUCUGUAAGCCAAGGAAUGUCAAAGAUUGCAAACAAAUCGCCAGAAGGCAGCUUACAGGAAUGGAAUAGAUUUUUUUUUCUCUGUUUCGAUGAAACCAAGAUGGCCCACAUCUUGACCUGCACUUUUAGCCUCCGGAGCUGUGAGACAAUAAAGUUCUGUUGUUGACAA
Long non-coding RNA from Canis lupus familiaris (dog), 301 nucleotides. RefSeq lists it as uncharacterized. The transcript is spliced from 2 exons. The record is from RefSeq and is a predicted model, not a curated record. NCBI's taxonomy places the organism in Eukaryota, Metazoa, Chordata, Mammalia, Carnivora, Canidae.